This 1071-nucleotide ribosomal RNA is filed under the name Bacillus sp. NCCP-1124. RNAcentral's name for it is "bacterial SSU rRNA". It matches the Rfam family "Bacterial small subunit ribosomal RNA", at positions 93 to 1162 of the family's 1533-position model. The record is from RNAcentral. Lineage: Bacteria; Bacillati; Bacillota; Bacilli; Caryophanales; Bacillaceae.
UAGCGGCGGACGGGUGAGUAACACGUGGGUAACCUGCCUGUAAGACUGGGAUAACUCCGGGAAACCGGGGCUAAUACCGGAUGCUUGAUUGAACCGCAUGGUUCAAUUAUAAAAGGUGGCUUUUAGCUACCACUUACAGAUGGACCCGCGGCGCAUUAGCUAGUUGGUGAGGUAACGGCUCACCAAGGCAACAAUGCGUAGCCAACCUGAGAGGGUGAUCGGCCACACUGGGACUGAAACACGGCCCAAACUCCUACGGGAGGCAGCAGUAGGGAAUCUUCCGCAAUGGACGAAAGUCUGACGGAGCAACGCCCCGGGAGUGAUGAAGGUUUUCGGAUCGUAAAACUCUGUUGUUAGGGAAGAACAAGUACCGUUCGAAUAGGGCGGUACCUUGACGGUACCUAACCAGAAAGCCACGGCUAACUACGUGCCAGCAGCCGCGGUAAUACGUAGGUGGCAAGCGUUGUCCGGAAUUAUUGGGCGUAAAGCGCGCGCAGGCGGUUUCUUAAGUCUGAUGUGAAAGCCCCCGGCUCAACCGGGGAGGGUCAUUGGAAACUGGGGAACUUGAGUGCAGAAAAGGAGAGUGAAAUUCCACGUGUAGCGGUGAAAUGCGUAGAGAUGUGGAGGAACACCAGUGGCGAAGGCGACUCUCUGGUCUGUAACUGACGCUGAGGCGCGAAAGCGUGGGGAGCGAACAGGAUUAGAUACCCUGGUAGUCCACGCCGUAACGAUGAGUGCUAAGUGUUAAAGGGUUUCCGCCCUUUAGUGCUGCAGCAAACGCAUUAAGCACUCGCCUGGGGAGUACGGUCGCAAGACUGAAACUCAAAGGAAUUGACGGGGGCCCGCACAGGCGGUGAAGCAUGUGUUUAAUUCGAAGCAACGCGAGAACCUUAACAGGUCUUGACAUCCUCUGACACCCUAGAGAUAGGGCUUCCCCUUCGGGGCAGAGUGACAGGUGUGCAUGGUUGUCGUCAGCUCCGGUCUGAAAAUGUUGGAUAAGGUCCCGCAACGACGCAAACCCUUGAAUCUAGUGGCAGCCAUCAUGGCACUCUAAGUUACUGCGGUGACAAA